RNAcentral lists this small RNA (219 nucleotides) under Arabidopsis thaliana (thale cress). RNAcentral's name for it is "ATSL095240". The record is from RNAcentral. Lineage: Eukaryota; Viridiplantae; Streptophyta; Magnoliopsida; Brassicales; Brassicaceae.
AUUAUUGUUUAGAGUAAGUUGGAAAUAUAUUCACUUUUCAAAAUAUAAUUGUGAACGUAGUAACUUCACUAUUCAAUAUUAGAGAAAGAGGUCAUUUUGCUUUUUGUGUAAUAGGCGGAUAUCUAAUAGCAGUUCGUGUGGGGCAGGGAAUAAUUUUUGGAAAUUACCAGAGAGGGCUUUUAGAUUCAAUAUCUCUAUCUCUAUUUCUUUAUUAUAUAU